AGAUCCCCAAACUAAACGAAGAACUCCCCCCAACGAUAGCAGCUCAAGAAGACUGAAUCUGGAGACCUGGGGUUGAGCAAGAGUUAGAUAAACACCCCAGAAAUGACCAAACAGAUUGCCCUGUUGACUUCCACAGCGAACCACCUUCAAACUAACAUCAAAUCAGCUUCAGAUUUAACUAGCCUGCCUGCCACUGUGAAGGGCCUUCAGAAGAGUGUGGCCUCCAUCGGGUUGCUGUGGAGGUCCUAUAGAAAAGAGUCGAUGCACACAAGAAAAUCAUUGAGACCCUCCAGAAUGACAUGUGUCAGGCAUCCUUGAAAAUAGUAAGCAGUGAAUGAAUGCUUCUUGAAUAAAUGAAUUACUGGAAGGCA
Molecule: long non-coding RNA, 371 nt
Filed under: Monodelphis domestica (gray short-tailed opossum)
Lineage: Eukaryota; Metazoa; Chordata; Mammalia; Didelphimorphia; Didelphidae
Description: lncRNA (ENSMODG00000041918.1)
Source: RNAcentral